This 81-nucleotide transfer RNA is filed under the name Clostridioides difficile. RNAcentral describes it as "tRNA-Tyr". It matches the Rfam family "tRNA". From Rfam's summary of the family: Transfer RNA (tRNA) molecules are approximately 80 nucleotides in length. Their secondary structure includes four short double-helical elements and three loops (D, anti-codon, and T loops). Lineage: Bacteria; Bacillati; Bacillota; Clostridia; Peptostreptococcales; Peptostreptococcaceae. The record is from RNAcentral.
GGAGGAUUUCCGAGCGGCCAAGGGCAGACUGUAAAUCUGUUGUCAUCGACUUCGGUGGUUCGAAUCCACCAUCCUCCACCA